Long non-coding RNA from Panicum virgatum (switchgrass), 203 nucleotides. RefSeq lists it as uncharacterized. The record is from RefSeq and is a predicted model, not a curated record. NCBI's taxonomy places the organism in Eukaryota, Viridiplantae, Streptophyta, Magnoliopsida, Poales, Poaceae. The transcript is spliced from 2 exons.
CAGUCUCCCCCACCUCUCUCCCCACAAGAUGCUACAAAAGAGCAGACUCCUUGUUCUGCACCUCAGCAUAAGGAAACAGCCCAGCAAUGCACAUCCCGUUCAUCACGACCCCAGAAAAGGUCAUCAUCGAGUGGUGUAAGUAAUGCUCCCAAAGAGACUCAGAAAAAGAAGGAGAUGAACGCGAGCAUUACAUCAUUGAUGAA